AGAGUUUGAUCCUGGCUCAGAUUGAACGCUGGCGGCAUGCCUUACACAUGCAAGUCGAACGGCAGCACGGGUGCUUGCACCUGGUGGCGAGUGGCGAACGGGUGAGUAAUACAUCGGAACAUGUCCAGUAGUGGGGGAUAGCCCGGCGAAAGCCGGAUUAAUACCGCAUACGAUCUGUGGAUGAAAGCGGGGGACCUUCGGGCCUCGCGCUAUUGGGGUGGCCGAUGGCGGAUUAGCUAGUUGGUGGGGUAAAGGCCCACCAAGGCGACGAUCCGUAGCUGGUCUGAGAGGACGACCAGCCACACUGGGACUGAGACACGGCCCAGACUCCUACGGGAGGCAGCAGUGGGGAAUUUUGGACAAUGGGGGAAACCCUGAUCCAGCAAUGCCGCGUGUGUGAAGAAGGCCUUCGGGUUGUAAAGCACUUUUGUCCGGAAAGAAAUCCUUCGAGAUAAUACCUUGAGGGGAUGACGGUACCGGAAGAAUAAGCACCGGCUAACUACGUGCCAGCAGCCGCGGUAAUACGUAGGGUGCGAGCGUUAAUCGGAAUUACUGGGCGUAAAGCGUGCGCAGGCGGUGAUGUAAGACCGAUGUGAAAUCCCCGGGCUUAACCUGGGAACUGCAUUGGUGACUGCAUCGCUGGAGUAUGGCAGAGGGGGGUAGAAUUCCACGUGUAGCAGUGAAAUGCGUAGAGAUGUGGAGGAAUACCGAUGGCGAAGGCAGCCCCCUGGGCCAAUACUGACGCUCAUGCACGAAAGCGUGGGGAGCAAACAGGAUUAGAUACCCUCGUAGUCC
RNAcentral lists this ribosomal RNA (795 nucleotides) under uncultured bacterium. RNAcentral's name for it is "bacterial SSU rRNA". It matches the Rfam family "Bacterial small subunit ribosomal RNA", at positions 8 to 796 of the family's 1533-position model. The record is from RNAcentral.